AUAAAGUAAGCUAAUUUAAAGCUAGUGGGUUCAUACCCCAAACAUGAUCAUUCCUUUAUAA
This 61-nucleotide transfer RNA is filed under the name Alectorobius peropteryx. Its description in RNAcentral is "tRNA-Met". Lineage: Eukaryota; Metazoa; Arthropoda; Arachnida; Ixodida; Argasidae. The record is from RNAcentral.